This 253-nucleotide ribosomal RNA is filed under the name uncultured bacterium. Its description in RNAcentral is "partial 16S ribosomal RNA". It matches the Rfam family "Bacterial small subunit ribosomal RNA", at positions 524 to 776 of the family's 1533-position model. The record is from RNAcentral.
GACAGAGGGGGCGAGCGUUGUCCGGAGUCACUGGGCGUAAAGCGCGCGCAGGCGGCAACCUAAGUGUCGUGUGAAAGCCCCCGGCUCAACCGGGGGAGGCCAUGGCAAACUGGGUCGCUCGAGCUGCGGAGAGGCCCCUCGAAUUGCAGGUGUAGCGGUGAAAUGCGUAGAGAUCGGCAGGAAGACCAAGGGGGAAGCCAGGGGGCUGGCCGCAGGCUGACGCUGAGGCGAGACAGCGUGGGGAGCAAACCGG